This 335-nucleotide long non-coding RNA is filed under the name Elaeis guineensis (African oil palm). RNAcentral describes it as "long non-coding RNA (EGUI_LNC078613)". Lineage: Eukaryota; Viridiplantae; Streptophyta; Magnoliopsida; Arecales; Arecaceae. The record is from RNAcentral.
GCCCGCAAGGGUCAAUCCCGCUGAGAACUUCGGCCGUGGGUAUUUUAUACCCAACACUUUUUAUGCAAUUUUUUUUCCAACACAUUCUGAUGGUCCAGAUCUCUUGAUAUGAGCUAAUCAAUACCUUUGUGUAUCUUAAUAAACUCUUAAAUUCAAGGUUCGUUGAACUUGUAUUGGAGGUCAUAUCGGUUGGUGGUUGGUUCAGCAUGGUACAGUCUGUACUAUACUCUUCCAGGGCAUACUGAAACUGGAAGAGCCAAAGAGGGAGGGAGAGAGGGAGAAGGAGAAAGAGGAAAAGAGAGGGGGAGGAGUGGGUCGAGAGACUGUUGUUGUUG